GCAGCAGGCGCGCAAAUUACCCACUCCCGGCACGGGGAGGUAGUGACGAAAAAUAACGAUACGGGACUCAUCCGAGGCCCCGUAAUCGGAAUGAGAACAAUUUAAAUCCUUUAACGAGGAUCAAUUGGAGGGCAAGUCUGGUGCCAGCAGCCGCGGUAAUUCCAGCUCCAAUAGCGUAUAUUAAAGUUGUUGCGGUUAAAAAGCUCGUAGUCGAAUCUGUGUCCCGCGCCGCCGGUUCGUCGCUCGCGGCGUUUAACUGGCGUGUCCGCGGGACGUCCUGCCGGUGGGCUUAGCCCUUUCGCGAGGGCGGCGCCCAAUUAUAAUCCCGCCGUGGUGCUCUUCACCGAGUGUCGAGGCGGGCCGGCACGUUUACUUUGAACAAAUUAGAGUGCUUAAAGCAGGCUAAAAUUUUGCCUGAAUACUUCGUGCAUGGAAUAAUGGAAUAGGACCUCGGUUCUAUUUUGUUGGUUUUCGGAACCCCGAGGUAAUGAUUAAUAGGAACGGAUGGGGGCAUUCGUAUUGCGACGUUAGAGGUGAAAUUCUUGGAUCGUCGCAAGACGGACAGAAGCGAAAGCAUUUGCCAAAGA
RNAcentral lists this ribosomal RNA (587 nucleotides) under Lipernes sp. UPOL LF0318. Its description in RNAcentral is "SSU rRNA". It matches the Rfam family "Eukaryotic small subunit ribosomal RNA", at positions 425 to 964 of the family's 1831-position model. Lineage: Eukaryota; Metazoa; Arthropoda; Insecta; Coleoptera; Lycidae. The record is from RNAcentral.